GGGUGCUUAGCUCAGUGGUAGAGCGCUUCGUUCACAUCGAAGAGGUCGUUGGUUCAAAUCCAGCAGCACCCACAA
RNAcentral lists this transfer RNA (75 nucleotides) under Candidatus Woesebacteria bacterium RBG_16_40_11. Its description in RNAcentral is "tRNA-Val". It matches the Rfam family "tRNA". From Rfam's summary of the family: Transfer RNA (tRNA) molecules are approximately 80 nucleotides in length. The record is from RNAcentral. RNAcentral also lists the same sequence under 3 other names. Lineage: Bacteria; Candidatus Woeseibacteriota.